AGCACCAAUUAUGCUAAUAAAUUAGCACGUUAGCACGUUAUUGUAAUAUCCCAUAGUACAUACAUGUUAUUAAAACUUGAACUAAUGCACUGUGAGUCUUAUAAAUUGCUUACAUACCUCACCGAUUUCUGCAUGUCUGGAAAACGCUCGGUUUAGUUCCUGUCUCCGCCUCCCAAAAUGUCUAGUGUAUUCGGAUUGGUCAGAUGACUACUCAACUGUUAUUGGUCAACUGGGUUCGGCGUGUGUUUGAAAGGUUACGCCCCUGACUACGCGUGGAUUUUCCGGUUCUGACUGAGAGUCACAGGCAACGUAAACAAGCGCUAUAUUUCUCUAUAAACGAUGGUGUCUGUACUGCCUUACCACUUCAAGCUCGAUCCAGAGAGUUCAGACGGCCGUUACGAUGUAAACGAUCUCCGUCAAUGAACGCGAUUGGAUUUAACUUUUUUAGGUGUCCUUAGCUCUGCCAGAAUGCUAAACGAAGACGAAAAUGUGUUGCAAAGACAUCCAAAAGGUUUUAAGGAGAAUGCAACAUGUUCCAGGGCCUCUUACCUGCGUGAUUCAUCAUCCAGGUUUUGCACAAAUUGUCUAAAUCCCUACACACAGAACAUUUAUUGUACCGACUAUAAGCCUUUGAGGUGCAGGACUAGAAUACGCUUGGAGCUUCCUGAUCAGAUCGGUCACAAUUUUGGCUUUCGACGACCCCUGCACUGAAGAUGGCAUGCAAUCACGUCCUCCUUUGAACGUCUCUCAAACUGUGAUGCCAGGUCCAUUGGAAUCGGGGAUUCCUUCAGCUUAUCUUCAAAUACCUCAUCAAACACAAGCCUGAUCACAUCCUCC
This is a long non-coding RNA of Paramisgurnus dabryanus, 837 nucleotides long. RefSeq lists it as uncharacterized. The record is from RefSeq and is a predicted model, not a curated record. NCBI's taxonomy places the organism in Eukaryota, Metazoa, Chordata, Actinopteri, Cypriniformes, Cobitidae.